Non-coding RNA from Arachis ipaensis, 5130 nucleotides. The record is from RefSeq and is a predicted model, not a curated record. Lineage: Eukaryota; Viridiplantae; Streptophyta; Magnoliopsida; Fabales; Fabaceae.
AAUUUGGUAACAUUCUUGGAAAGGAGGCGUUGAAUAUAGAAAGCCCGAUUCUUGAGCCUAGGACAUUGCAUGAUCUUCUAAAUGAAGCCUCAAUCCAUGCAAAUAAUGACGGGUGGGUCCCAUUUAAUAGAAAGGAAAAAGGAAAGAUGUCACAUUCCUCAAAAACUGGCCCAACCAAGGAAAGGUCCACUUUGAAUAAGGUUGGGGGAACGAAACAUGGGCCUACUCAUGAUGGGCUUGGAAAAAUUCCUAAUACUCCAGUGAAUUCCCUUUUGAAGCACAAAAUUGGGGCCUUUUGGAUAAAAACAAUGAAGCUUUCUUGUCACGCCAAGCUGGGAGUGUUGUCUCCAACCACAUGCGCCAGAGACCAGCGUUGCUAAAAGGAUCCCUUGUUGAAGCUCUUAUUCGUACUCGGGGUGGCGAUAAGCAAUACUUUUAUGCUGAAGCGAUGGAUAACACCCAGAAUCUUGGGGAUAGAGGACCCACCAUGUAAUUCUUUUGUUCAUGUUCCAGCUUCUUCAUCUGUGAUUUUUUUAUGGAUCAAUUGAAUAUAAUAAGCUGGAACAUCAAGGGGCAUCCAACAAGAUGUCCUGGAUACACUGUAAGAAUUGGUGCCUCGGAGCUCCUUUGAGGAGGGGUGACCGGCCUUUUAGAUUCCAAGCUACUUGGGCAUCUCAUCCGGAAUAUAAACCUCUAGUCAAGAAAAUUUGGGGGUCUAAUUCCUCAGGUGGGUGCAUCUAAUGGAAAUUAUUUCUAAUCCAAAAGCUUCUUGGAAUUCAAUUCUAAUACUUUUGGCAAUAUUUUUGUCAAUAAGCAUAAGCUUGAAGCUCAGUUGGAAGAAGUUCAGAAAAGUAUGGAGGUUUUUGAUGAUGUUGAGCUUAGGCAGAAGGAAGAAGGGAUUAGGAUGGCACUUAACACCAUUUUAGCACAAGACAAAUUUUUCUGGUUUUAGAAAUCCAGAGAGUAGUGGAUGAGAUAUAGGGACUGUAAUACACAAUUUUUUCUCAUGCGAACCAUUCUCCGAAGAAAAGCAAACAAGAUUCAUGGUCUUCUAACUAGUGACGGUUCUUGGGCCACAGAUCAAGAUGUUUUGCAGUGUGAAGUUCUAAAAUUUUUUAAAAAUCUCUUUUGCUUUACUGAGCAAAUUGAUCUUUAGUGCAUGUGAGAAAUUCCUUCGCCUAGGCUUUAUCAGACUGCUUGUGAUUGCCUUACUCAACUAAUAUCUUUUCUGGAAGUCAAGCAAGUUGUGGAUAGUAUGAGCGCUUUGAAAGCUCCUAGCGCGGAUGGUUUCUAGGCAUUCUUCUUCAAGCAUUACUAGGAUGUUGUAGGGCAAGAAGUUUGGAGGUUUGUUUAGAGUGCUUUUCUUGAUGGUUUCUUGAGUGACUCCUUGGUGAAAAUGCUUAUUAUUCUUAUCUCAGAGUGUGAGACACCUUGUGCCUUCAAGGAUUUUCACCCUAUUAGUCUCUGUAAUGUCAUAUACAAGAUUAUCACCAAGGUUCUAGUUAACAGAUUGCAACCGUUUUUAGGAGAUAAUUAGCCAAACUCAAAAGGGCUUCAUUCAUGGUAGGGGAGCUCUGGAUAAUAUUAUUCUGGCUCAAGAGAUGCUUCAUUUUCUUAAGAGGACUAAGUCAAAGAAAGGUGCCAUUGCCUUUAAGAUUGACUUGGAGAAGGCGUAUGACAGAGUUGAUUGGAGUUUUCUUGAGGAUUCUCUUCCUGUUUUUGGGUUCUCCUAGACUAUCAUCAACUUGAUUAUGAAUUGUGUGAAGGGCUCAAAUCUGUCCAUCUUAUGGAAUGGUGUUAAACUAGAGGGAUUUCAUCCUCGGAUGGGUCUUAGACAAGGAUAUCCCAUGUCACUCUACCUCUUUGUCAUCUGUAUGUAUAGGUUUUGGCUACUUUUAUUGAAUCCUAAGUUAGUUCUAGUGAUUGGGAAGCUAUGGCCAUCUCUCGGGGCAGUCCUCGGACGUUUCAUCUCAUGUUCGCAGAUGAUCUUCUCUUGUUUUGCAAGGCCAGCAGGUCUCAAGUUCAGAACAUCAUGUGAUUUAUAGAACUUUUUAUAAGACUUCAGGUAUGAAGGUAAAUCUUGAGAAAUAAAAAACUUUAUGUUCCAAGAAUGUCUCUAAUAGUCGAAGAGAGGUCUUGACCAGAGUUUCUCAGACUUGGUUGACUAAUAAUUUGGGAAAAUACUUAGGGAUAAACAUUGGGCAUCCCAAAACUUCUAGAGCCAGAUUUGCAGAUUCUUUGAAUAGAAUCAAGUCUAUAGAUUGGCGAAUUGGAAGGGUGGCUUUCUCAAUAGAGCAGGUAGACUUUGUCAGAUUAAAUUUGUGGCUUCUACAUUACAUAUUUAUGAAAUGCAAGUCUCUUUUUUUCCUACCUCUUUUUGAAAGAAAAUUAAUGCUGCAAUAAGGACUUUUCUUUGGAAAGAAAAAUUGAUGAAAGGUUCUUAAAUCUUGUUAAGUGGGAUACAGUUAUUACCCCCCGCAAGUUUGGUGGCCUGGGUAUUAGAGAUAUGAGAUGUGCGAACCUGGCCUUAAUGGUUAAGCUUUUGCGGCAACUCCUUCAUAGCUCUCAUAAGCUUUGGGUCAGAGUUUUGAUUCAUAAAUAUGUAUUGCAUGAUUUUAUUCUAGAGACAAGGAUUCCGAAUCAUGCUUCUGGAAUUUCAAGAAUCAUGAAUACUAAGAGAGUGAUGCAGGGUAGGCUGGCCUGGAGUAUUGGUUCUCUUGAUCAAUCCUUUUGGUUCGAUUCUUGGCACCCAAACGGCUGUCUCGAUAGUUUUGUUCCUUUUGUUCAUAUUACAGACACAAUCUUAAAGGUGGAGGAUGUUUAGUCUCUUGACUAUUGGAAUUGGAAUGUUCUAUACACUCCUAUUAAUGAAGAUUUUAAAAUGAAGUUGUCUAAUAUCUUCUCUGUGUGGCAUGGUGCAACCGAUCUGGAUGGAUUUGGUAUAGUUCCAAUAAUAAGGACUUUUCGACUAAGAGUUGUUAUUGUUGGAUUUUGCAAUAGAAAAUUGCUUGCAAUCGUACUGAUAAUUAUCUCUGGUUGUGGCGGUUGCGAGUUCUACAGAAAAUUAAACUUCUUAUGUGGCUUGGUAUUCAUAAUGCCUGCCAACUAGCCGGCUUCGAUUUUCCAUAGAUCUGGCUAGUUCUGCGGUUUUGUUGGUGCGGAAUUAGAAUACCACAACUGAACCAGCAAGUGCACCGGGUCAUACCAAGUAAUACUUCAGGUGAGUGAGUGUCGAUCCCACAAGGAUUGAUGGAUCAAGCAACAAUGGUUGAAGGAUUCACUUUGUUAAACAAGCAGAAAAGUGUGUUUUGGGGUUCAAAUUGUAUUAAACAGUAAAUCAGAAAUUUAGAAAGCAAGUAAUAAAUUGGAUGUGAAAGUUUUGUGAGAGAACAGUUAAGGUUUCAGAGUUAUUUAUUUUUCCAGAUUAAUAUUUCUUACCAACUAUUUUUAUCAUGCAAGAUCCAAUUCAUGACAAGCCCUAAUUGACUAAACCCUAAUUCCUUAGUAAUUUAGUCUCCUCUAACCUAAUCAACUGCUAAUUUCUUGGUCACUUAAUGUAGAUUAAAAGGUUAAAUCCAAUUCUCGUUUAUUAGCCAUAAAAAUCCUAAUUACUCAAAUAUAAGAGAAUUAUAUGUCACAUAUCCAGUUAAGUCCAGGUAAUUAGUAAUUUAGGAGGAAUUACUUUCAAGCUAGUAUUCAAGUGAGUUAACUUUUCCAAGAAUCAACAAGAAUUCAUGUAGAACAAGAGUUAUUUUCCAAUACAUUCAAAUUCAUAAGAUGAAGAACGAAAGUAAUCCUUGAAUUUAAAUCAAUACAAUAAUUAAAAUAGAGUGACAAUAGUAUUAAUUCAUAGAAUAAACAGAGCUCCUAAUCUUAACAACGGGGGUUUAGUUGCUCGUGGCUCAGAGAAAAAAACUAGGGUUCAAAAGUGUGUAGAGUGUAGAAUGAGGUAGAAGAGAAGAGAGCCUCGAGGGCUAAAUCUUUUCCCUUUUAUAUCUAACCUAAUUUGAUUUGAAAAUAAAAUAGAAUAAUAAAUUCAAAACUUAAAAGAUUGUGUUUUGAAAUAAUAAUAAUAAUGAAAAUAAAAUAAAAUAAAAUAAAUUAUUAAUAAAAAAUCUAAGCCAACAGAGCCUUCUUUAAAAAUCAUAUUUGCGCUACUAGCGCUAAACGCCAGGCGCCGCUGAGGCAGAGAAGUUUCUGGUCUUGCUGUCUUCCUGGCACUAAACGCCAGGUUCAGCAUUUAGAGCCAAUAGCGUGAGAUUCUAUGAGCGCUUUACGAGGUCUUCUGCACUAAAUGCCAGGUCGAGGUGUUUAGCACCAGCUCAAUAGAGAGCUUGCACGUAGUACGAGGCGCUUGGCACCAAACACCAGGUAGCGGCGUUUGGCACCAGCGUGGCAGCAUCAAAUUUCUUCCUUUUUCUUCUGCACAAAUUCUACCAAACAAGCCCAGAUUUUUCCACAAAUAAAUAAAACCACAAUGCGCCUCAAAGUAGCAUCAAAAUAGGCUUCAAGCACUAAGAUCUCAAUAAAACUCAAUAAAUUCACAUCUAAAAUAGUAAGAAAAUAUAGGAAAGAUGCUCACGUAUCUCAACACCAAACUUAAAUUAUUACUUGUCCUAAAGCAACCAAAAAUAACCUGAAUCUGAGUUGUGGGUCUGCCCGAGAAUUGAGUGUUCAAUUAAGCUCCUGUCUCUCCUCUAAGUGGGGUUAACGAUACUGUCAUCUUGAAUAGUUUCGGCAUCUCACUAUUCUUUGAAACUUAGAAAUGUCAAUGUCCUUCAGAACUAGAACUCAGAUAAUAUUAUGAAUUCUCUUCCCUUUUAUCCUCUGAUUAAUCUUUGAACACAACAUUUUCUUUUGUUCUUUUCUUUAGUGCUUUGCACCUUCACCCUAGCCGUGACUUUAAAUGUUUUGUCUCAAGAUUUACUUGACACAGAAACACCAUAAGCACUUAGCUGGAGAACUCUUUGAGUUUUGAUUUUUCUUUUUAUUUUUCCUAUUUAGUGGUGCUCAGAGCCUUUGGCAUACUCUUUACUUGCACUUGGUCUCGACUCUUAGUGCUCUAUCUCAAGAAUUUCUUGACACAUUUACACCACAAGCAUAUGGCUAGGAAAAUAACUCUUUCAUCUU